AACCGCGGUUAAACGAAUAGUCCUAGUUAAUAGUAAUGCGGCGUAAAGGGUGGUUAAGGAUAACAAUAAUAAAGCCAAAUGGCCCCUUGGCUGUUAUACGCUUCUAGGCGUCCGAAGCCCUAAUACGAAAGUUGCUUUAAAUAAACUACCUGACCCCACGAAAGCUGAGGAA
RNAcentral lists this ribosomal RNA (172 nucleotides) under Rasboroides vaterifloris (pearly rasbora). Its description in RNAcentral is "partial 12S rRNA". Lineage: Eukaryota; Metazoa; Chordata; Actinopteri; Cypriniformes; Danionidae. The record is from RNAcentral.